GGGGAUGUUUUGGGAUUCGACAGGCGUAGAUUUGCAUUGAUUGCAGUUCGUAGGUUACGUCUACGUAAAAACGUUACAGUUUAAAUAUAACUGCAAAUAAUCAAAAUUCUUACGCAUUAGCUGCUUAAUAACCAGCCUGCGUGAUCUUUGUGAUGGUUGUACUCGUGGUUAUCCAAAGGUUUUAUAUUUAACGAGUUGCAUUUAACUGAUUACCUAGGUAGUUAGACUAAGAUUUUAGGUUAGCAAUAGCUAUUUGCCCGUUAUAUGGCGUUUUGCUGUUGUGAAAUCAAAUAAUAUAACUAUGAUUGUAGAUAUCAGUGACAAAAUGCGUUUGGACAGGGGUUCAAAUCCCUCAUCUCCACAG
RNAcentral lists this transfer-messenger RNA (364 nucleotides) under Lactobacillus iners. RNAcentral describes it as "Standard tmRNA". It matches the Rfam family "transfer-messenger RNA". Rfam says of the family: Bacterial tmRNA, also known as 10Sa RNA or SsrA, is named for its dual tRNA and mRNA-like properties. Its role is to liberate the mRNA from a stalled ribosome. To accomplish this part of the tmRNA is used as a reading frame that ends in a translation stop signal. Lineage: Bacteria; Bacillati; Bacillota; Bacilli; Lactobacillales; Lactobacillaceae. The record is from RNAcentral.